UACGGAGGGGGCUAGCGUUGUUCGGAAUUACUGGGCGUAAAGCGCACGUAGGCGGAUUGGCAAGUUGGGGGUGAAAUCCCGGGGCUCAACCCCGGAACUGCCUUCAAAACUCCCAGUCUGGAGGUCGAGAGAGGUGAGUGGAAUUCCGAGUGUAGAGGUGAAAUUCGUAGAUAUUCGGAGGAACACCAGUGGCGAAGGCGGCUCACUGGCUCGAUACUGACGCUGAGGUGCGAAAGCGUGGGGAGCAAACAGG
Molecule: ribosomal RNA, 253 nt
Filed under: uncultured bacterium
Lineage: Bacteria
Description: partial 16S ribosomal RNA
Rfam family: Bacterial small subunit ribosomal RNA
Source: RNAcentral